This 103-nucleotide non-coding RNA is filed under the name Cephalotus follicularis. RNAcentral describes it as "Eukaryotic large subunit ribosomal RNA". It matches the Rfam family "Eukaryotic large subunit ribosomal RNA", at positions 1229 to 1332 of the family's 3401-position model. The record is from Rfam by way of RNAcentral. Lineage: Eukaryota; Viridiplantae; Streptophyta; Magnoliopsida; Oxalidales; Cephalotaceae.
GGGUGCGCAUCAUGCGCACAGGUCAUGGAAGUCGAAAUCCGCUAAGGAGUGUGUAACAACUCACCUGCCGAAUCAACUAGCCCCGAAAAUGGAUGGCGCUGAA